Molecule: ribosomal RNA, 550 nt
Filed under: uncultured Glomus
Lineage: Eukaryota; Fungi; Glomeromycota; Glomeromycetes; Glomerales; Glomeraceae
Also listed under: 1 other name
Description: SSU rRNA
Rfam family: Eukaryotic small subunit ribosomal RNA
Source: RNAcentral
UUGGAGGGCAAGUCUGGUGCCAGCAGCCGCGGUAAUUCCAGCUCCAAUAGCGUAUAUUAAAGUUGUUGCAGUUAAAAAGCUCGUAGUUGAAUUUCGGGAUCAAUGUUUCGGUCAUGCCGUUGGUAUGUACUGAUAUUAUUGGUUUCUCACCUUCUAAAGAACCGUAAUGCCAUUAAUUUGGUGUCACGGGGAAUUAGGACUGUUACCUUGAAAAAAUUAGAGUGUUUAAAGCAGGCUCACGCUUGAAUACAUUAGCAUGGAAUAAUGAAAUAGGACAUCCGAUUCUAUUUUGUUGGUUUCUAGGAUCGAUGUAAUGAUUAAUAGGGAUAGUUGGGGGCAUUAGUAUUCAAUUGUCAGAGGUGAAAUUCUUGGAUUUAUUGAAGACUAACUACUGCGAAAGCAUUUGCCAAGGAUGUUUUCAUUAAUCAAGAACGAAAGUUAGGGGAUCGAAGACGAUCAGAUACCGUCGUAGUCUUAACCAUAAACUAUGCCGACUAGGGAUCGGAUGAUGUUAAUUUUUUAAUGACUCAUUCGGCGCCUUACGGGAAAC